ACAAUAUUCGGACUGUCGGCUUACUAAGCAAUAUCACACACUCUGUGGAAGAUCUUCUCUUUGUCAU
Molecule: microRNA precursor, 67 nt
Filed under: Bombyx mori (domestic silkworm)
Lineage: Eukaryota; Metazoa; Arthropoda; Insecta; Lepidoptera; Bombycidae
Description: mir-2774 microRNA precursor family
Rfam family: mir-2774 microRNA precursor family
Source: Rfam by way of RNAcentral